RNAcentral lists this ribosomal RNA (305 nucleotides) under uncultured bacterium. Its description in RNAcentral is "bacterial SSU rRNA". It matches the Rfam family "Bacterial small subunit ribosomal RNA", at positions 337 to 640 of the family's 1533-position model. The record is from RNAcentral.
GCCUACGGGACGCAGCAGUGAGGAAUAUUGGUCAAUGGGCGGGAGCCUGAACCAGCCAAGUCGCGUGAGGGAAGACGGUCCUAUGGAUUGUAAACCUCUUUUGUCGGGGAGCAAAGAGAUCACGUGUGGUCAAAAGCGAGAGUACCCGAAGAAAAAGCAUCGGCUAACUCCGUGCCAGCAGCCGCGGUAAUACGGAGGAUGCGAGCGUUAUCCGGAUUUAUUGGGUUUAAAGGGUGCGUAGGCGGGACGGUAAGUCAGCGGUAAAAAUGCGGAGCUCAACCCGUCGAGCCGUUGAAACUGCCGUU